This 326-nucleotide ribosomal RNA is filed under the name uncultured soil bacterium. RNAcentral describes it as "bacterial SSU rRNA". It matches the Rfam family "Bacterial small subunit ribosomal RNA", at positions 26 to 352 of the family's 1533-position model. The record is from RNAcentral.
AGAUUGAACGCUGGCGGCAUGCCUUACACAUGCAAGUCGAACGGCAGCACGGGGGCAACCCUGGUGGCGAGUGGCGAACGGGUGAGUAAUGCAUCGGAACGUGCCCAGUAGUGGGGGAUAACUAGUCGAAAGAUUAGCUAAUACCGCAUACGACCUAUGGGUGAAAGCGGGGGAUUCGCAAGAACCUCGCGCUAUCGGAGCGGCCGAUGUCUGAUUAGCUAGUUGGCGGGUAAAAGCCCACAAGGCUUCGAUCAGUAGCUGGUCUGAGAGGACGGCCAGACCACACGUAGGGACUGAGACACGGCCAGACCUCCGACGGGAGCAGC